CCCACCACUCCUUUUUCACUCAUCUCUUCAUUCCUUUGGCCAGCUCACUUCCUUACUUCUCUUUCCUUUCUUUUUCUUCUUUUUCAUUUUCGGUAGAACACUCCUCUUCGCUCCUUCAAACUCUCCUGCUAGCACCUCCAUAUCACCAUUUCCACCAUCAUUUUUCCGGCAAGAUCACCAGAAAAUUGUUGUGAACCCAUAAACACCUUCACAUCUUUUUUUGAGGUUCUAACUAAUUUCCUUGGAGCUUGGAGAAUUAGGAUUUUGCGGUUGCGAGGUAUGUAACUUUUUAAUGGGAUUUUUGAAAACAUAACCAUGUUUUAUAAAUAUUGUUUUUGGGUCAAACACAUUUUGGAAAAUGAUAUAUGGAUAUGUGCUUUCUUAAAAGUAUUGUGUUAUGACCCUAUUAUAUAUUAUUAUAUAUGAAAAAUGCAUCCUAUUUGGUAUUGCAUUUAGGGAAAUACAUGAAUUGUUGAUAUGGAAAAAUGAGCAUCUUUUAUUUAAUCUUUGAUAAGGAAAUUUUGGAUUUUAUGGUAUAUUAUAAAAUUUAAAGAUGUUUAUCUUGUCUUGUUACAUGGGAAAUUGAUAGAAAGUCUCUUGACAAGAAUGAAGUUGAAACCUUACAAACUUUGUGGAAGUUAGAUUAUUUAAGGUUUUUCUGAAAUUGCCUAGACAUAAACUAUGUACUUGAAAGUAAUGUAACCUGUAAACUUUAUGUGGUUUUAACACCAUACCAUGUGUGAUUUCCCGAUGAUCACCCAAUUUGGUUUUCGUAGUUCUUGUGACAACGGAAUCAAAUCUAGGUUAGUACCCUUUUACUUUGGAUGACACGUUCUUCUCUGCUGCCCAUGGGGGGAAGAGGUUCAUUGAUUGUGUGUGGGUGAGGCUGCUGUCCAUAGGGCCAAGAGACCACAUGCAAGAGAGUAGCUAUUUGACGCGCUCUCUUUGCUGCCCAUGGGGGGAGAGAAAAACCUUGAGGGUAUGGAUGAGGUUGCUAUCCAUGGGGCUAAGAGUCUGCAUACCAAAGAGGACAAUACCAUGUCAGUUGUGAAUGGGUGGAUCCCCUAACCGGUCUAUGUGGUAGUGUGGUAUAUUUGUGAUAAUUUAUCUUAUGUUAAAUAUUAUGAUUUUGGAAAUUAUAUUGUUAAUGCUUACAGAUUAUAGUAUAUAGUUUCAAGGUAUUUACUUUGAGAAACUUUGUAUUCAUUAUUAAAUCAUUCUUGUUAUAUUAUUGUUAUUGAAGAAGAAACUUGCAUUUCUCCACCCCCAUUAAUUAUGCUACUUACUAGGGUCUGUCUCAUUUCAUUAUUUUAUAAACCUUUCAAAGUAGGUAACAAUCUUUUGAGACAGCUUUUUGGUGGCUAAUAGUAGUUAGACUAACUAUUGAUGGAGACUAAACUUUUGUAAUGGAGAUAUUAGAUGUUGUAAAUCUUAGAAUAGGCUUGACUCAUUCUUUUGUAUAUUAUAGUGGUUGUGACUUUAUUCCCACUGAUGAGACAAGCUGUUGUUAUGUAAUUAUUUAUUCAAACCUCAAUUCUUUUGUAGCCAAUGGUCAUUGUAAUUAAUGCUUAAAGCUCUGACUUACCUUGAGAAUAUAUUUAAUUGAAUUAUUAUGAUAAUUCUUGA
Molecule: long non-coding RNA, 1626 nt
Organism: Quercus robur (English oak)
Lineage: Eukaryota; Viridiplantae; Streptophyta; Magnoliopsida; Fagales; Fagaceae
Exons: 2
Source: RefSeq, a predicted model, not a curated record